GUAGUCUCGCACAGAUGCAUAUCAAUAAGCGGAGGAAAAGAAACUAACAAGGAUUCCCCUAGUAACGGCGAGUGAAGCGGGAAGAGCUCAAAUUUGAAAUCUUAAAGGGUUUCCCUUUACGAAUUGUAGUUUAAAGAAGUGUUUUCUGUUGAGGUUUUGGUAAAAGUUCUUUGGAAUAGGACAUCAUAGAGGGUGAGAAUCCCGUAUUUGACCUUUACUUUCAACUUUGUGAUACACUUUCAAAGAGUCGGAUUGUUUGGGAAUGCAGUCCAAAAUGGGUGGUAAAUUUCAUCUAAAGCUAAAUAUUGGCGAGAGACCGAUAGCGAACAAGUACCGUGAGGGAAAGAUGAAAAGAACUUUGAAAAGAGAGUUAAACAGUACGUGAAAUUGUCAAAAGGGAAGCGUUUGACACCAGUGUUGUUUUUCUGAAAAUCAAUUAAAGAACUGUUUAUGCUAAGCUGUUUAGACUUUAUCAGCUAACUGUUUAGUUUUGAGCUUUUCUUUAAUGCACUUUUCAGUUAACAAGUCAACAUCAAUUUCUUUUGCUGUAAAAAAGCUUGAGGAAGGUGGCUUGAGAUUCGUCUUAAGUGUUUAUAGCCUCUUGCCUAUGCAGUCGGAGAGAUUGAGGUCUGCAGCGUAGAUCCUUCGGGGCUAAAUGCAUUUGUGCUAAGUUAUAGCAUUUUAUAGACAACUUGUUGACUAUGAUUUGUCUUGUAGCUUACUCGCUUAUGUUAUUUUACCUACGCUUAGGAUGUUGAAGACUCUACAGAGAUA
This 774-nucleotide ribosomal RNA is filed under the name uncultured Neocallimastigales. RNAcentral describes it as "partial large subunit ribosomal RNA". It matches the Rfam family "Eukaryotic large subunit ribosomal RNA", at positions 24 to 633 of the family's 3401-position model. Lineage: Eukaryota; Fungi; Neocallimastigomycota; Neocallimastigomycetes; Neocallimastigales. The record is from RNAcentral.